GUUAAUAGAGGAAUUUAACUUCAUUUCUUCCCGUCCCACGAUGAGAUGAAAUAAUAGAAAGGCAAUAUUUCAUUAAAACUUCAUGUUGCAAAAACAUUAGAUGGUUAUCCACUAUCAAAUUUAUUCAAGUUAUUUCUUGAAUGAUUCAAUAAACUUUAUCACUGAUUACACCUUCUCAAUUCACCCAGAAUAUUUAUCUCUCUUGAGAUAAGUGUAACCUACUUUUCAUGUAACAAGAGUGUUGAUGUGGACUGAGUUUACAUUGGGCUGCUGAGCAAUUAGAUAGGGAAAGACUGAUUUCACCAGAUGCAACAGAAGUAUCUGAUGAAUUUGUGGAACCAAAUUUCAACAACCAUACAAGUACUAGGUAAUAAAAAUAGAAUUAAACUGGUAAUAAUUAUUAUAAAUAUUCAGGGUAUCAAAAAAGUAAUAAGUAAUAUAUUGGUAAUAAUUACUAUAAAUAUUGUGGGUAUCAAACAAUAAGUGUAAAUCUAGUACUCAACCUUCUUUCAUAGAUUGUAUGUAUUUUGCAUCAUAUAAUCAUUGUUAUCAUUGAAAACAAUGAGCAAAUUUCAUUAAUUUUUUUUUCAAUUUUGAAAUCUUAAGUUUUCCACUAUCAAGUCACCUGUCAUGUUUUAACAGUUUCUUUAUUCAACUGUAAUCACAAUCUACCGAUUACAUCAGUGACAUUAUAGCCAUUCAUCAAAGGAUUUCAUGUUGAUUUUCAAAAUUUGCCCAUAACUAGAGAAUUUUGGUGACCAAAACGCGUUGUUGCUAGAUCAAAAGGCAGACUGAAAAAACGGUGGUAGUUUUACGAAAUGCUUUAUUUUUCAAUUCCUCUAGGGAGGACUUUAUCUGCAUAUUUUAAGAUGUCUUCUGUUGUUUCAUUUUUUCGGUAUCAAUUUUUAUGGUAGAUUUAGUAGUUCACUAAGUCAUACAGACCCUUAUAGUGGCUAAAUAUUCAGAUUGAUUGGUUAAUUAUUCAGAUUGAUUGGUUAAUAAAAGAAAUUUUUUACAUGGAUGAAGAUUCUGUAUUGUUCUCAUAAAAAGAAAUAAAGAAACAAAACAUAAACUUU
Long non-coding RNA from Leptinotarsa decemlineata (Colorado potato beetle), 1076 nucleotides. The record is from RefSeq and is a predicted model, not a curated record. Lineage: Eukaryota; Metazoa; Arthropoda; Insecta; Coleoptera; Chrysomelidae.